This is a long non-coding RNA of Amphiprion ocellaris (clown anemonefish), 1688 nucleotides long. RefSeq lists it as uncharacterized. Lineage: Eukaryota; Metazoa; Chordata; Actinopteri; Pomacentridae. The record is from RefSeq and is a predicted model, not a curated record. The transcript has 3 exons.
GGAUUUGAAGAAGCUUUGAAGACGUUUCCUGAUGCCGCCGGAGAAGACGAGCAGCUUUGUACCUUUGCGGUUUCCCAGAGACUAUGGGUUGAGGAGGAAUUGGAAGUUUGUCGGCUUAGACCUGGUGUCAUUCCAUCAGUGUUAAACUUCCCGGCUCAUCUUGGAAGAGUACGUGCCAGAAAGACCACGACCAAGCAGCCUUGAGAUCUUAGGCAGCGUCUCCCUGAGGUCCCUCUCUAUCUCCCCACACAUCCACCAACCACUGGAACACAUCUCCAAAGUUCUGCUGGGCCAGCUCAGCUUCCCCUCAGAAGAAGUGCUGCCACCUGCCAGAUGAAGGAGCCUUUUGAGAGGCAGCUGGCAUCGUGAUUGGACUGUACUUUGGUCUGUUCCAAUCCAGCUUCAGCUCCAGAGACGGCAGGCGGGACGAGUCAACGGAGGCCGGAUGGACGAAGGCAUGCAGCUGAGUACAAUCCAGAAAACAACAGAGGAGGAGUGCAGCAGCCCAGAGCCAGAACAACCAGAGUAGCAUCGUAUGUCUCUUAGAAAACAUCAUAGUAUAGCCUUUGGGAUGAAAGAACACCAUCAUAUACAUCGUAUAUUGUACAAAUAACAAGUCAAAGGAAAGAGACAUACAUUGUAGAAUUGUAGUAAUUGUGGGCUGACUGAUUUACUGAUUAGCAGUAUUUUAUUUUUUACUGAUUUAUGGUAAUAAAUACAUUUAAAAAUGGUGCUACUUUGGCUCUGAACCUUAAUCUACCUGUGGUCGCUCUGUCUUCUGGAGUGAUUUGAUUAGUUAUACGUCACAAAUAAAACUCCUCCAACUUAACAUCUGUAAACAAAACAAAAGCGUAUCAACAAAGUUUUCUGUUAGAGUUUGUGUUCUUCUAAGUUGAACUCCAAGAUUUUAAAUACUUUCAUUUACUGCAAAUGAAUAUCUACUUCAAAUGUCUCACUAAUAAUCAUUAUCAGCCUUAAAAACCCACAAAACACCCCUCUAUACUGGACCACACUUAGUACAGUCCGGUUCCCCCUUCUAUAAAUCUGCUUGGAAUCGUCCACUUCCUGUUUGUCAAAGUGGCCUUCUACCUGGACAGGUUUUGUUGGAGCUCAUGCAACAAACAUUUUGGGUAACUGCACUUUAAUAUGGAUGGAUGACACUGAAUUAGAGUCUGUUUUAAUGAGACUGAGUUAAGAUGUGUAGCUCUGUCAUUAAAUAGGAAAUUAUUUCUCAGAAUUCACAGAGAAUAGUCUGAAAUGUUUGCUAGCUUAGCGUCCCACAUGUUCUUUGGCUCAGCUAAAGCUAACUCUCUCCAACUUGUGGAUCUCUUGAGUUGCUUGUUGUUAAAAUAUCUUGCUAGAGGUGCUGAAGCUCAGAAAGUCUGAGAUGUUUGUUCAAAAUAAGCUCAUUCUCAAGUCUGAUCUGAACUGUCCUCUUUUGUUUGAACUUUCCCUAAACUUAGGAGUUAAUGACAGAGCAGCACAUUCAGACUGAGUCUCAUUUAUGUAGAGAUUAAACUUCAGUGUCAUUCAUUGAUGUUAAAGUGCAGUUUUUCAAAUGUUUGUUGCACAUGCUCCUGACCAAACCAGUUCAGGUGGAAGACGAUGUGAAGAGAAAGCUCCAGAGGAUGAAUAUCACACAUUUACGUUGGAAAUAAAUGUCCUUUCAUUAGACAUUGUCAUGCAAA